UAAUCUAUUUGGAGCAGAUCCUCAUCUAAUUAUGGCAGACCCACAUCUAACUACUCAGAAUCACUAGUUAUCACAAGCCCAACUCCAUCAACCUUUUAUUGAAAAAUAUUUUUUUACAAAGUGUGUAAACAACAUUUUCCCAUAGAGUUGAUU
This is a non-coding RNA of Populus trichocarpa (black cottonwood), 153 nucleotides long. Lineage: Eukaryota; Viridiplantae; Streptophyta; Magnoliopsida; Malpighiales; Salicaceae. The record is from Rfam.